UACGUAGGCGGCAAGCGUUGUCCGGAUUCAUUGGGCGUAAAGAGCGUGUAGGCGGCCAGGUAGGUCGGUUGUGAAAACUGGAGGCUCAACCUUCAGAGGUCGACCGAAACCAUCUGGCUAGAGUCCGGGAGAGGAGAGUGGAAUUCCUGGUGUAGCGGUGAAAUGCGCAGAUAUCAGGAGGAACACCAAUAGCGAAGGCAGCUCGCUGGGACGGUACUGACGCUAAGGCGCGAAAGCGUGGGGAGCGAACAGG
RNAcentral lists this ribosomal RNA (253 nucleotides) under uncultured bacterium. Its description in RNAcentral is "partial 16S ribosomal RNA". It matches the Rfam family "Bacterial small subunit ribosomal RNA", at positions 524 to 776 of the family's 1533-position model. The record is from RNAcentral.